GGCCUCAUGGCGCAACGGCAGCGCGUCUGACUCCAGAUCAGAAGGUUGUGUGUUCGAAUCACACUGGGGUCA
RNAcentral lists this transfer RNA (72 nucleotides) under Haliaeetus albicilla (white-tailed eagle). It matches the Rfam family "tRNA". From Rfam's summary of the family: Transfer RNA (tRNA) molecules are approximately 80 nucleotides in length. Their secondary structure includes four short double-helical elements and three loops (D, anti-codon, and T loops). Further hydrogen bonds mediate the characteristic L-shaped molecular structure. tRNAs have two regions of fundamental functional importance: the anti-codon, which is responsible for specific mRNA codon recognition, and the 3' end, to which the tRNAs corresponding amino acid is attached (by aminoacyl-tRNA synthetases). tRNAs cope with the degeneracy of the genetic code in two manners: having more than one tRNA (with a specific anti-codon) for a particular amino acid; and 'wobble' base-pairing, i.e. permitting non-standard base-pairing at the 3rd anti-codon position. Lineage: Eukaryota; Metazoa; Chordata; Aves; Accipitriformes; Accipitridae. RNAcentral also lists the same sequence under 3 other names. The record is from Rfam by way of RNAcentral.